UACAGGAACAAAUUAUACAGAUGAAGCCGGCCAGUUUAAAGCAACAAGUUAUCCAGGGUUAUUUAAUAUAACAUGGAAAUUGUAUGGUAAAGCAACCAUUUAUCUUAUGAAAUACAGCAUACAACCUCAGUAUGGAAUACAAGAUAGGUAUCAAACAUGUCUACAUUUUUCUGGAACAAAAACCUAGCCAAGUCAGGGAUGGUACAAAGUUAUUUUACAGUGCAAUCUACCAGUAUUGUCAGUAAUUCGUGUUACCUUAAAACUGCCAAGUGGUGUUCUAAACUCUACCUCCAAAAUCACAACAUACAAGACAACAAAAAGAACAACAAAGCUUGCAUAUGGUG
Ruditapes philippinarum (Manila clam) is the source of this 344-nucleotide long non-coding RNA. RefSeq lists it as uncharacterized. The record is from RefSeq and is a predicted model, not a curated record. NCBI's taxonomy places the organism in Eukaryota, Metazoa, Mollusca, Bivalvia, Venerida, Veneridae. The transcript has 3 exons.